UGGGUCAACGAUGACCAUUGGUACCCUGUGAGUCAUACAUCAUGAUUCCAGUUCUGGAAGUCUGUGGACAAC
Small nucleolar RNA from Cricetulus griseus (Chinese hamster), 72 nucleotides. Ensembl annotates it as small nucleolar RNA SNORD113/SNORD114 family. The record is from Ensembl. NCBI's taxonomy places the organism in Eukaryota, Metazoa, Chordata, Mammalia, Rodentia, Cricetidae.